GGAAUUAGGGUUCCUCUUUCGAGGCCAUUCGAGCUUUUGAGGCUAGGGUCAGAAGGUUUAGGGUUUUGGGUAUAAUUUGGGUGAAGAUUUUGUGUGAUUUCGAGUUUUUAUGGAAAAGAUAUGAAUGUUCAAAGAUAAGGUGUCAAUUUCGUACCUACUGUCACUUCUUUUGGGCAUCACAUACGAAUACGGAGAGCAACGGAAGAUCGGCGACUGGAUUUGGAGGGAGCAUUUUCUCGGCUACACAUUCUACUUACUGUAUAGUGAAUUCUAAGAUUGGGUGAAGGAGUUAUGAGGUGUUGAAGACAGCACUUGUAAUUUGAAGGCAGUAAGCAUGUCGUUUUGUUGCUAGUUAUGGGUGAAGCCAUAUCUUGAGUUUCUGGACGAAUUUUUGGCUCAAAAUUUCCACAAGUGUGUGUAAUUGGGUUAAGAAGCUUUAGAUCAAAGUUUCAUAUUAUUUGAAUAAUUACUUUGUGAGAUAUGAAGGAAGUUGUACACGGGUGUAAAAAAGCUAGGGUUUGAAGCUACAGUUAGGGUUUUCAAGAUAUCACAAGAUCCAAGACGAAUUUACGGUUGAAUUUUGGUGUGGUAGUUGCUAAAGAUAUAUCAGUACUCCAUGUAAAAUUUGGAGUUGUUUAGACGGUUAGAUCGUAAGUUAUGAGCUGUUGAACUUCGGGAAAAAUUCCUUAUAAGGAUAUAUAAGUUUUUUAUAACACCUUAUCAAGUAUUUUGGUGUUCUUUGGAUUUUAAGGCUUGUAUAUUGAUGUAAUUGCUCCAAAGGAGAGGAGUUUAUAUAUAUAAAAUUGUUACCCUUGUAUUUCAAACUUGAUUGAGUAUUUAGUGACAGCUAGAAG
Molecule: long non-coding RNA, 854 nt
Filed under: Physcomitrium patens
Lineage: Eukaryota; Viridiplantae; Streptophyta; Bryopsida; Funariales; Funariaceae
Description: long non-coding RNA (PPAT_LNC003298)
Source: RNAcentral